GAAGUGAAAAAUGCAUGCUUACAAGUAGUGAAAUAGUUUGGUUCAUUUGUGAGGAUAAAGAUGGAAGCAAUGUUCGUUGGAUCUGAUCCUCGUCUUUAUUUUCAAGUUAAGUAUUUGUUUUCUCAUCUCAAUCGUGCUAAAUCCAUUUGUCUCUCUCUGAUAGCUGUUUAAUUUCUGUUGGUGGGAAAGAUAAAAAUCAGAGAGGGAAUCAAAUGUUUGCAAGAUUUAUUGCAAUGGUACAAAAACAACUUCACCCCAGAAAAUGCUGGAAUCCUUCAUGAUUCCAAGGCGCACCUUCAAUCUCUUCAACGACAAGUAAAGUGAAUAUGCAGAGGCUGUCAACAGUUCUGAAUCAUUAUGCUCUUCAAAACAAGGUGAUAGUAGUUCUUCCAUGGGAAGACCAAAUGCAUUUCCACAGAAUGCGACUGAUGUUGCUUCACCGAAAUCAGAACUCAAUCACUAUUUGACAGAUUCUAAGGUUCAUCCACAUGAAGAGUUUGAUGUCCUGGAAUGGUGGCGUUACAAUUUUCUAACUUAUCCAACAUUAGCUAGGAUUGCUUAUGAUUUCUUAUCAAUACCUAUUUCUACUUGUUAUACUAGUUUUUGUUCUUUGUGGGAUGACAUUGAUGGUAUUUAUAUUACUGGUUUGGAUGUCUGACUUAAAAUGUGCUUGGGUCUGUACAAAAGUCUGGUUGAAUGACUCCGAAAAUAUAUAAUGAAGUGUUGUUGAAAAUUUAUAUUGUAA
Long non-coding RNA from Mangifera indica (mango), 745 nucleotides. RefSeq lists it as uncharacterized. The record is from RefSeq and is a predicted model, not a curated record. The transcript is spliced from 2 exons. NCBI's taxonomy places the organism in Eukaryota, Viridiplantae, Streptophyta, Magnoliopsida, Sapindales, Anacardiaceae.